CUGAGUACGGCGGAACACGUGAAAUUCCGUCGGAAUCCGGGAGGACCAUCUCCCAAGGCUAAAUACUCCCUAGUGACCGAUAGUGAACCAGUACCGUGAGGGAAAGGUGAAAAGCACCCCGGAAGGGGAGUGAAACAGUUCCUGAAACCGUGUGCCUACAAGUAGUUAGAGCCCGUUAAUGGGUGAUAGCGUGCCUUUUGUAGAAUGAACCGGCGAGUUACGAUUUGUUGCAAGGUUAAGCGGAAAAAGCGGAGCCGUAGCGAAAGCGAGUCUGAAUAGGGCGCAUAAGUAACAGGUCGUAGACCCGAAACCAGGUGAUCUACCCAUGUCCAGGAUGAAGGUAAGGUAAUACUUACUGGAGGUCCGAACCCACGCACGUUGAAAAGUGCGGGGAUGAGGUGUGGGUAGCGGAGAAAUUCCAAUCGAACUUGGAGAUAGCUGGUUCUCUCCGAAAUAGCUUUAGGGCUAGCCUCGAGGUAAAGAGUCAUGGAGGUAGAGCACUGUUUGGACUAGGGGCCCUUCUCGGGUUACCGAAUUCAGAUAAACUCCGAAUGCCAUGUACUUAUACUCGGGAGUCAGACUGCGAGUGAUAAGAUCCGUAGUCGAAAGGGAAACAGCCCAGACCACCAGUUAAGGUCCCCAAAUAUAUGUUAAGUGGAAAAGGAUGUGGGGUUGCUUAGACAACCAGGAUGUUGGCUUAGAAGCAGCCACCAUUGAAAGAGUGCGUAAUAGCUCACUGGUCGAGUGACCCCGCGCCGAAAAUGUACCGGGGCUAAACAUAUUACCGAAACUGUGGAUGAACCUCUUUAGAGGUUCGUGGUAGGAGAGCGUUCUAAGGGCGGUGAAGUCAGACCGGAAGGACUGGUGGAGCGCUUAGAAGUGAGAAUGCCGGUAUGAGUAGCGAAAGAAGGGUGAGAAUCCCUUCCACCGAAUAUCUAAGGUUUCCUGAGGAAGGCUCGUCCGCUCAGGGUUAGUCGGGACCUAAGCCGAGGCCGAUAGGCGUAGGCGAUGGACAACAGGUAGAGAUUCCUGUACCAGUGCUAAUUGUUUAACCGAUGGGGUGACACAGAAGGAUAGGGAAUCGCACGAAUGGAAAUGUGCGUCCAAGCAGUGAGUGUGAGAAGUAGGCAAAUCCGCUUCUCGCGAAGCAUGAGCUGUGAUGGGGAAGGAAAUUAAGUACGGAAGUUCCUGAUUUCACGCUGUCAAGAAAAGCCUCUAGGAAGAGUAGUACUGCCCGUACCGCAAACCGACACAGGUAGAUGAGGAGAGAAUCCUAAGGUGAGCGAGAGAACUCUCGUUAAGGAACUCGGCAAAAUGACCCCGUAACUUCGGGAGAAGGGGUGCUCUAUUAGGGUGCAAGCCCGAGAGAGCCGCAGUGAAUAGGCCCAGGCGACUGUUUAGCAAAAACACAGGU
This 1414-nucleotide ribosomal RNA is filed under the name Listeria monocytogenes. Its description in RNAcentral is "partial 23S ribosomal RNA". It matches the Rfam family "Bacterial large subunit ribosomal RNA", at positions 408 to 1820 of the family's 2925-position model. The record is from RNAcentral. Lineage: Bacteria; Bacillati; Bacillota; Bacilli; Caryophanales; Listeriaceae.